GAUGAACGCUGGCGGCGUGCCUAAUACAUGCAAGUCGAGCGAACAGACGAGGAGCUUGCUCCUCUGACGUUAGCGGCGGACGGGUGAGUAACACGUGGAUAACCUACCUAUAAGACUGGGAUAACUUCGGGAAACCGGAGCUAAUACCGGAUAAUAUAUUGAACCGCAUGGUUCAAUAGUGAAAGACGGUUUUGCUGUCACUUAUAGAUGGAUCCGCGCCGCUUUAGCUAGUUGGUAAGGUAACGGCUUACCAAGGGGACGAUGCGUAGCCGACCUGGGAGGGUGAUCGGCCACACUGGAACUGAGACACGGUCAAGACUCCUACGGGAGGCAGCAGUAGGGAAUCUUCCGCAAUGGGCGAAAGCCUGACGGAGCAACGCCGCGUGAGUGAUGAAGGUCUUCGGAUCGUAAAACUCUGUUAUUAGGGAAGACCAAAUGUGUAAGUAACUAUGCACGUCUUGACGGUACCUAAUCAGAAAGCCACGGCUAACUACGUG
Molecule: ribosomal RNA, 497 nt
Filed under: uncultured bacterium
Lineage: Bacteria
Description: partial 16S ribosomal RNA
Rfam family: Bacterial small subunit ribosomal RNA
Source: RNAcentral